AACCUUCCAAAACAUUCCUCCUCCCACCACCCAACUCCAACAAACCACAGUGAGACAUAUUUGGACCCUUCAUCACUAUUCAAUAUAAUCAAUACUGAGUCCAUCAGGGGAGAGAGGAGUCUCCCUUGCACCAUAGACCCCCCGGAAACACAGCUGCCACUCUCUGUGUUUCCAUGUCACACAUGGCACCGCCCGGAGAAAAAGGUUUGCCAGUGUGACCCUCUCUCUUCCAUGCACAGUGCUCUCACCACCGAUGCAUGGAUGGACAGACUGCUUUUAGGAUUUUUCCUUUCAAGGAUACUCUGCCAUGAGGGAAAAAACAACAGUUCAGUUUUUCAUUUUUUUGGGACCACAGUCCCCCCCCCAUUUUCUUCCUCCCCUGGGGCCGAGGGUCUCAGGAACAGAGAUCUUCUCUUCUUCUCUGAAGACGGGGGGCAUCACCACAAACCUCCCCAACUUUUCUCUGUUCGCUCCACUCCUGUGUUUUCUUCAGCUGCUGAAGCAGGUCUCUUGGCUCACCAGCAUCCUCCUAAAAUACAGUCUCUCUCUUGGAGGAGAAAAUCAGUUCAGUCUAUGGCUAACAAGAAAAAGUCCAGCCAGAAGCCACUCCAUCAUCUCCUUCCACCCAGAAUUUCUCCUUCUAACAUCUCGGGUCCCAGGCUGUCUCUCUUCUCUUUCAAGCCGAGGAGGAGUAAAAUUUCACAAAGCUUUCAUUUCUCAAGGAAGGGUUAAAAGUCCCGACUCCCUGGCUGGCUCUCUGCCCGGAUCUCCGGCUCCCACCUGGGAGCUGGGCACCUUGCGGCCCCCCCCCCGCUCUCCUCCUUCCCGCGGUACUGCUGGCAAAUCAUUGCUGUCUCUUUCAAGAGAGAGAGACUCUGGGGGGGGGGGACGGAGACAUCCCAGAUGUUUUCCACCCUUCCAUCUGCAGGGGCCAGCCCGGUUCCAGUCCCUCCACCCUUCGGCUUUACCUCAGCCGGGCCUUGGGCCUUCCCCUCCCCUGCCCAGCGAAGAGCCAGGCAGGGGAGAGUCCCG
Molecule: long non-coding RNA, 1032 nt
Filed under: Chloebia gouldiae (Gouldian finch)
Lineage: Eukaryota; Metazoa; Chordata; Aves; Passeriformes; Passeridae
Description: Erythrura gouldiae (Gouldian finch) lncRNA (ENSEGOG00005018112.1)
Source: RNAcentral